AAAAUAAUUUAAAAAUGAAAAUCAUGCUAAAAAUAAUACAUAAAAAACAAAGAUGAACUGCAGCGAACAGACGACCACCACUGCAUUACUGGCUUCUGACUAAAAACUGGCACAUACAGAAUGUUUCGGUAUUGUACAAAUAAGUUAGUGAUAAACCCUUCCCGGGAUAGUGGUCAACCAUCACAACAUAAUAAUAGACUUUAUUUUUCUGGUUUAAUUGUUUUACAUUUAAUUUCGGGACCUUUUAUUGCUGACUAUGUGGUAUGUUGAAGGCCGUACAGUGACCUAUAAUUGAUAAAGUCCGUGUAAUUUUGGUCAUUUUGUGAAGAGUUGUCUCAUUGGCCAUCACACCAGAGCUUUUUUUGUAAUGUAAAAUCUGUAUGAAGGGCUUGGCUCAUCAGAUCGACUCAAGGCACACAACC
RNAcentral lists this long non-coding RNA (422 nucleotides) under Mytilus galloprovincialis (Mediterranean mussel). The record is from RNAcentral. Lineage: Eukaryota; Metazoa; Mollusca; Bivalvia; Mytilida; Mytilidae.